RNAcentral lists this transfer RNA (75 nucleotides) under Geobacter sulfurreducens. Its description in RNAcentral is "tRNA-Val (CAC) (tRNA-Val-CAC-1-1)". It matches the Rfam family "tRNA". Rfam says of the family: Transfer RNA (tRNA) molecules are approximately 80 nucleotides in length. Their secondary structure includes four short double-helical elements and three loops (D, anti-codon, and T loops). Further hydrogen bonds mediate the characteristic L-shaped molecular structure. tRNAs have two regions of fundamental functional importance: the anti-codon, which is responsible for specific mRNA codon recognition, and the 3' end, to which the tRNAs corresponding amino acid is attached (by aminoacyl-tRNA synthetases). tRNAs cope with the degeneracy of the genetic code in two manners: having more than one tRNA (with a specific anti-codon) for a particular amino acid; and 'wobble' base-pairing, i.e. permitting non-standard base-pairing at the 3rd anti-codon position. Lineage: Bacteria; Pseudomonadati; Thermodesulfobacteriota; Desulfuromonadia; Geobacterales; Geobacteraceae. RNAcentral also lists the same sequence under 21 other names. The record is from RNAcentral.
GGGCGCUUAGCUCAGCGGGAGAGCACUGCCUUCACACGGCAGGGGUCACUGGUUCAAUCCCAGUAGCGCCCACCA